This 468-nucleotide ribosomal RNA is filed under the name uncultured bacterium. Its description in RNAcentral is "partial 16S ribosomal RNA". It matches the Rfam family "Bacterial small subunit ribosomal RNA", at positions 28 to 507 of the family's 1533-position model. The record is from RNAcentral.
GACGAACGCUGGCGGCGUGCUUAACACAUGCAAGUCGAACGGAAAGGCCCUGCUUUUGUGGGGUGCUCGAGUGGCGAACGGGUGAGUAACACGUGAGUAACCUGCCCUCGACUUUGGGAUAACUUCAGGAAACUGGGGCUAAUACCCGAUAGGAGCUCCUGCUGCAUGGUGGGGGUUGGUAAGUUUCGGCGGUUGGGGAUGGACUAGCCGGUUAUCAGCCUGUUGGUGGGGUAGUGGCUUACCAAGGCUUUGACGGGUAGGCGGCCUGGGAGGGGGACCGGCCACAUUGGGACUGAGAUACGGCCCAGACUCCUACGGGAGGCAGCAGUGGGGAAUAUUGGACAAUGGGCGGAAGCCUGAGGCAGCAACGCCGCGUGCGGGAUGACGGCCUUCGGGUUGUAAACCGCUUUCGCCUGUGACGAAGCGUGAGUGACGGUAAUGGGUAAAGAAGCACCGGCUAACUACGUG